UACGAGGGGUGCAAGCGUUGUUCGGAAUCACUGGGCGUAAAGCGUGCGUAGGCGGUUUGUUAAGUGAGAUGUGAAAUCGUGUGGCUCAACCAUAUCGUUGUGUCUCAUACUGGCAAACUAGAGGAUAGCAGAGGCAAGUGGAAUUACGAGUGUAGCAGUGAAAUGCGUAGAGAUUCGUAGGAACACCAUGGCGAAGGCAGCUUGCUGGGCUAUUUCUGACGCUCAGGCACGAAAGCGUGGGGAGCAAACAGG
RNAcentral lists this ribosomal RNA (252 nucleotides) under uncultured bacterium. RNAcentral's name for it is "partial 16S ribosomal RNA". It matches the Rfam family "Bacterial small subunit ribosomal RNA", at positions 524 to 776 of the family's 1533-position model. The record is from RNAcentral.